GUGGGGAAUCUUGCGCAAUGGGCGAAAGCCUGACGCAGCCAUGCCGCGUGAAUGAUGAAGGUCUUAGGAUUGUAAAAUUCUUUCACCGGGGACGAUAAUGACGGUACCCGGAGAAGAAGCCCCGGCUAACUUCGUGCCAGCAGCCGCGGUAAUACGAAGGGGGCUAGCGUUGCUCGGAAUUACUGGGCGUAAAGGGCGCGUAGGCGGACAGUUUAGUCAGAGGUGAAAGCCCAGGGCUCAACCUUGGAAUUGCCUUUGAUACUGGCUGUCUUGAGUACGGGAGAGGUGAGUGGAACUCCGAGUGUAGAGGUGGAAUUCGUAGAUAUUAGGAAGAACACCAGUGGCGAAGGCGGCUCACUGGUCCGGUACUGACGCUGAGGUGCGAAAGCGUGGGGAGCAAACAGGAUUAGAUACCCGAGUAGUCC
This 425-nucleotide ribosomal RNA is filed under the name uncultured bacterium. RNAcentral describes it as "bacterial SSU rRNA". It matches the Rfam family "Bacterial small subunit ribosomal RNA", at positions 354 to 796 of the family's 1533-position model. The record is from RNAcentral.